This 590-nucleotide ribosomal RNA is filed under the name Streptomyces sp. CATR-60. RNAcentral describes it as "bacterial SSU rRNA". It matches the Rfam family "Bacterial small subunit ribosomal RNA", at positions 273 to 873 of the family's 1533-position model. The record is from RNAcentral. Lineage: Bacteria; Bacillati; Actinomycetota; Actinomycetes; Kitasatosporales; Streptomycetaceae.
GCGACGAAGGGUAGCCGGCCUGAGAGGGCGACCGGCCACACUGGGACUGAGACACGGCCCAGACUCCUACGGGAGGCAGCAGUGGGGAAUAUUGCACAAUGGGCGAAAGCCUGAUGCAGCGACGCCGCGUGAGGGAUGACGGCCUUCGGGUUGUAAACCUCUUUCAGCAGGGAAGAAGCGAAAGUGACGGUACCUGCAGAAGAAGCGCCGGCUAACUACGUGCCAGCAGCCGCGGUAAUACGUAGGGCGCAAGCGUUGUCCGGAAUUAUUGGGCGUAAAGAGCUCGUAGGCGGUCUGUCACGUCGGAUGUGAAAGCCCGGGGCUUAACCCCGGGUCUGCAUUCGAUACGGGCAGACUAGAGUGUGGUAGGGGAGAUCGGAAUUCCUGGUGUAGCGGUGAAAUGCGCAGAUAUCAGGAGGAACACCGGUGGCGAAGGCGGAUCUCUGGGCCAUUACUGACGCUGAGGAGCGAAAGCGUGGGGAGCGAACAGGAUUAGAUACCCUGGUAGUCCACGCCGUAAACGGUGGGAACUAGGUGUUGGCGACAUUCCACGUCGUCGGUGCCGCAGCUAACGCAUUAAGUUCCCCGCC